UCGGGAAUUUUGGGCAAUGGGCGAAAGCCUGACCCAGCAACGCCGCGUGUGCGAUGAAGGCCUUUGGGUCGUAAAGCACUGUCGACCGGGACGAAAACUCACGGACUAAUACUUCGUGAGUCUGACGGUACUGGUAAAGGAAGCACCGGCUAACUCUGUGCCAGCAGCCGCGGUAAUACAGAGGGUGCAAACGUUGCUCGGAAUUAUUGGGCGUAAAGCGCGUGUAGGCGGCUUGUUAAGUUGGUUGUGAAAACCCAUGGCUCAACCAUGGAAGUGCGUCCAAAACUGGCAAGCUAGAGUUCUGACGAGGAUGGCGGAAUUCCCAGUGUAGAGGUGAAAUGCGUAGAUAUAGGAAGGAACACCAGUGGCGAAGGCGACCACCUGGACUGAUACUGACACUGAGGUGCGAAAGCGUGGGGAGCAAACAGGAUUAGAUACCCAAGUAGUCCCUGAGCGGGCUGGCAAGGCGCAU
RNAcentral lists this ribosomal RNA (472 nucleotides) under uncultured bacterium. RNAcentral's name for it is "bacterial SSU rRNA". It matches the Rfam family "Bacterial small subunit ribosomal RNA", at positions 355 to 825 of the family's 1533-position model. The record is from RNAcentral.